This 148-nucleotide small RNA is filed under the name Papio anubis (olive baboon). RNAcentral describes it as "Metazoan signal recognition particle RNA (ENSPANG00000039848.1)". Lineage: Eukaryota; Metazoa; Chordata; Mammalia; Primates; Cercopithecidae. The record is from Rfam by way of RNAcentral.
GCCGGGCGUGGUGGCGGGCGCCUGUAAUCCCAGCUACGCGGGAGGCUGAGACAGGAGAAUCGCUUGAACCCGGGAGGCGGAGGUUGCAGUGAGCCGAGAUCGCGCCACUGCACCCCAGCCUGGGUGACACAGCGAGACUCCAUCUCAA